UUAGAUUGGCAGAUUAAGUGCAUCAGAUUUAGAAUUUGAAUAUGUAUGAGUUACAUUUAAU
Molecule: transfer RNA, 61 nt
Filed under: Sphaerotheriidae sp. HYS-2012
Lineage: Eukaryota; Metazoa; Arthropoda; Diplopoda; Sphaerotheriida; Sphaerotheriidae
Description: tRNA-Leu
Source: RNAcentral